RNAcentral lists this ribosomal RNA (276 nucleotides) under uncultured bacterium. Its description in RNAcentral is "partial 16S ribosomal RNA". It matches the Rfam family "Bacterial small subunit ribosomal RNA", at positions 524 to 794 of the family's 1533-position model. The record is from RNAcentral.
UACGUAGAGUGCAACGCGUUGUCCGGAAUUAGUUGGGCGUAAAGGGUACGCAGGCGGAUUAGUAAAGUCAAGCGUGAAAGGUGUCGGCUUAACCGACAGACUGCGUUUGAAACUGAUUAUCUUGAGUGUAACAGAGGAGAGUGGAAUUCCUAGUGUAGUGGUGAAAUACGUAGAUAUUAGGAAGAACACCAGUGGCGAAAGGCGACUCUCGUGGGUUAACACUGACGCUGAGGUACGAAAGCUGGGGGAGCAAACGGGAUUAGAUACCCGUGUAGU